This 596-nucleotide unclassified non-coding RNA is filed under the name Hevea brasiliensis (rubber tree). Lineage: Eukaryota; Viridiplantae; Streptophyta; Magnoliopsida; Malpighiales; Euphorbiaceae. The record is from RNAcentral.
GAAAAAAAAAAAAUGCUUAUGGAUAGAGCUUAAAGAAAAGGCAGCUAAUGGUUGUUCUAUCAUCUAUCAGCUACCUUUUUAAAGGAAUUAUCAUCUAGCUUGGUUUAGUUGUUUGAAUAUCUACCAACUAUCAGCUGCAUCCAACAACUGAAUCAAACACUCCCUAAAACCAGAAUGAAUUGAUUUGAUCGUCUCAUCUCAGUUCCGGAUCAAAACUGAUUUUUUUCACUUUUUUUAAAAAAAAUAAAAAUUUUAAAACAAUUUUGACAUCAAAUCAGAUUGGAAUUAAACCAAAAUCAAAUUAGAACAGGAGCCAAGAGGAACCCUUCAGUCCUAUCCCGGCCCUUAGGACAGAAACUGCCCGUCCAGUACGACCCAGAACCAGACGGCACCCAUGCCAAACUAUUUGAAUUUUAAGGGCCAAUUUGAAUGGAUCAGAUGGGUAGGGGGUAUUUAAAUUUGUCACAUACCCCUUUCUUUUUAAUGAUGAUUUUUCACUUAGAACAAAAAUUCUAAUGCACACUUUAUCUAAAUGGACAUGGGUCAAUGGAAGAUCUAAGUUCACACCAAAACAUCGGCUAAUUAGUCAGGUUGAG